CGUAAUCAAAGUCAGCCGAGCAAACAAUCAACAUUACUUUGACCAAAAUGUACCUAGCUGGAAAUAAUAUAAAACAAGAAAGAAAAGCAACAACAACAAGCCAAAUAAAUAAAUAAGUUCGCACGAUGGGAGGAAAAAAUUGCGCCAAAUUAAUGAAAAGCGCAAAUGACAGUGCAAAAAAUACAAAAUACAAAAAAAGUGCUGUGAAUUUAAAGCGGCGUAAAAAAUGUGCGACAGGAAAAAGCAGAAAACGAAAAACUCUUUGAAAUUAAAUUUCGAAAUGCGAAAGACAACCAGACAAACAAAAUGCGAAGCUAACGAAAAAGAAAGUACGCCGUGCACUUUGGCCAAAAUAGUCGGUGAAAAGCCAGGCUCCGUCCGGGAGGAAGGGGAGAAGGGGGGGAUGAAUGUAUACAAAUUCCGGAAAACGCAAAUUUAUUUCAGCAUUUUUAUACUCAGCUCAGAUAAAGCACAGAAAACAGAAAAAAAAAUAAACAAAAAAAAGUGGAAAAAUGCGCAUUAAAUAAGUAAUAAAGAAAUCAAGAGAAGUUAAGUUAAAAAAUAAAAUCAGUUGGUUGUCGGACGGCGCUAACAAAGUUGCCACUUGUCAGACGUCAGUUGUCAGUUGUCAGUAAAUGUUUAUGAGUUAAUCAACUUGUAAUGACCAAAGGAGGCCCCAAACAACUGGGACCGCUUCAGGGUCGGACGGAAAGUCACUUAAAGUGCGGGCAGAGAAGAAGAAAAGUGAGGGGGGAGCGGGAAAAAAGUGUGUACGCAGUGCAGGCAGCGAGUGAGUGAGUGAGUGAAUUCAGAGAGCAGACACAAGUCCGACUGUUGCAGAGCAGCAGCACAAAAAAGCCGAGACCAAGAGCUGCAGAUGAUGAAAAACAACAGCAGCAACAUCAACAUCAGCUGAAAUGAGCGACAAAUAAACAAAAGUAAAAGUUUUAUCCAAGAGCGGAAAUGCGCAAAGCGCGUUGUUAACACGAAAUGUGGCAAAGGCAACACAAGGCAGAGGCAGAGGCAGACGCAGAGACAGAGACAGAGGCAGCUAAAAAGUGCCACAGAUAUAGUAAAGUAGAGUGGCAAGUAGUGUUUCAGCCAUCUAAAAGUUUUUGGCCUUAGCCAUUUAUGGAAUUUCUGAAAUGCCACCCGGCAAUUUGCACUUUUACAGAUGUAACUGGCCAGCAAAUUGCAGGCAAGCAUCUAGAGAGGACUAUCUCACAUCUCUUGUGGCAUGCAACACUCCAACUUCAUUUCGGGUAAUUUCACACGGAAGCAGCAAACGAUCUUAAUUGACAAACUCGUGUUUUUAUACUUUGAUAGUUGGAUAUAUAAAAUAGCAACUACUGCAAAGUAAUACGAAAAAUUCCAUUAAACUCAUUACUUAUUCC
Drosophila sulfurigaster albostrigata is the source of this 1394-nucleotide long non-coding RNA. RefSeq lists it as uncharacterized. The record is from RefSeq and is a predicted model, not a curated record. The transcript is spliced from 3 exons. Lineage: Eukaryota; Metazoa; Arthropoda; Insecta; Diptera; Drosophilidae.